AACACAGGGUAAAUUAGGUUACAUUGGAAUGACAGUGUAUUCAUUUGCAAGUCCCCUGACACAGUCAUUUCAACAACUUAGCUUUAGCAUUUACAGUCAGCUCCCAGCUGUAGAGGGAAAUUCAAUGGCCUCAUUAUUGUGUCUGAACUGAACUGUGUCAUGCAGGAGGAAGGGCAAAGACAGAGGCAGAUUGGGGCCUUCCAGUUCAUCUGUACUUUGAGCUGUUUCAGCAGCAUCCUUGGAGUCUGGAGGCAGGAGAGCAUCAGUUCUUCCGUGAGGAAGCUCUGGUGCCUCGGUAAAUCCUAAACGAAUAGCAAUUUGUGCCCUUUGAGGCUCGCAGAAUUCUUUUGAGCUCCUGUUGGAUUCAGGGAUCACAGGGAUCAGCUUGACUCCUGGAAGCAGGAUGUGUUCAUUCAGAGGCAGCAGCUUUGGCAGCCAAAGAGGAUUGUCAGAACCUAUUUUCCUUUUAGCAGCAGGACAUGACUCCUGAAGGCUGUGGCUCCAGGCCCUAAAGGCACAUGCCCAAAAUCCAGCACAUGCUCUCCCCAUGCUAAUUCAUCAGCACUAUUCAGAGAAGGGGAAAAUGAAUGUAGGAAACAGCCACAGAAAGAAGAAGGACUUGGCCAAACAUCAUCCUUGCAGCUGCGUUUCUGCUCCUGGGAGAGCUCUGAUUGGCCAUCCCUUCCAGCAGCAUUUUCAGGAGAGCAAGAUUUGCACAGACUCCCACGUGGCUUUCUUCCUGUGGAGGAAAAGAAAUGGCAGGAACCCCAUUAGGCAAUUUAAAAUUGCCUUCUUAUUUCCCAUUGAAAGGGAAAGACUUUAGGCCAUUUCACAGGAUAAUAAAAUAAUGAACUGCAAUUAGUCAAACCUCCUGAAAAAAAAAAAAAAAAGAAUGCUUCCUAGUUGAUAAUAUUUAUCAGCACAACUGUGUCAUUUAUGUAGAAAGGUGCCUUUCACUGAUUGCUGUGGGUGUGAUUUUGGAUUUCCAUUUAAUAUUAAGGCAAACUGUAUCCAUGUAAACUCUGGGCUGCCACCUUUGUCUUGGAAAUAAAAGAAAAUGUUUAAGACAAAACCAUAAUAAUUGAGUCCAUCAGUAAAUUUUGACACUUGAAACUUUCACUUUUUUCCCCCAUGAAAUUUGUGGAAUUGAUUUUGAUACAAUGUCUAUUCUAUGUAUGGUCAAUUCAAAUUGGGUCUAAGUAGCCGACAUUCUGAGUUUUACUAAUUUCUGAGUAUUGAAAUAUAUCUACAGAUUGCAAAAGGGUGUGAAAUAUUGGGCAAUAAGCAUCAUGUUUCUGGGGGAAUUAAAUAGGUAAAGUCAUCAUUGUUGGUUUCCAUAUACCUCUUGGUUAAUUUGGAGUUUUCCAGAGUCAGGAAAGGAGAAGGAAGAUGAAAGAUAAAAAUGUUUCACAUUGAUCUCUCUAAAUCCAAGGAAGUGAAGGGGAGAAUGGAGAUAACAAGCUCUUAAACCAUAGAAAACAGAACUUUGAUUUUCUUUAAAAGAAAUCUAAGAUGGCUAAAGUUUCCCAUUUGGGGGCCUUCAAGUUUAUAUUGUUCAUUGAAUAAUAAAUGGUCACCUGGUAUUUUUAUCUUAAAACAUUAUUUCUUAUGAAUACUCAGGUCUAAAUACAAUUUAACCUUUGUUCAAUAGACAUUUACUGAGCAUGUUCUAUUUCAAAGAGUAUUUGUUAUAGGCUGUGAGGAUAAAGAAGAUAUGACCUUUCCUAGGCACAUAGGAAGUAGAAUACAGAAAGGUAGACAUAUUUGGUUCAAUAAUGAGGAUACACAUAGUGUACAAUGAAUAAUGUUAGAAAAGACCAUGAAUUUCAUCUAAUUUAAUUUCAGAAGGCUUUAUGAAUUUACAUUUGAGUUAAACCUAAAAUAACGAUCCAAAUUUACAUAAAGUGACAGAAAUUAUAAGUAAAGGUACUUAGUUAUUAAAAUUCAUGCUAGAAAGACUGAUUUAUAGAAUGUAUAGAAACAAUAAGAGAAUAUCUGUGAAAAUAUCAUACUUGUGUGGGUUAGCCAACAAACAUCAGUGAAAUCUAAAUUAGAGCAUAGCACACCUAGUUGUAAAAUGCAUUUGGGGAGACCAUAUGGAUAUGAGGAUAUGAGGAAAAUGGAACGGUUAUGGAUUUUGGAAGGACAUCACUUCAUAUCCUGUCUCUUCCUCUCACAUAUGGAACCAUUUCUUAACCUCUCCAAGCCUCAAAUGUAAGACAUACCUAGUGUACAUCCAAUAAUAAAUGGUUUAUAAUUAAGAUUUUACUGAGAUACUAUGUAAGAAAUAUAUUAAUACAGUGUCUAAUAGUCAAUAAAUGGUAGCUGCUAUUA
Ictidomys tridecemlineatus (thirteen-lined ground squirrel) is the source of this 2334-nucleotide non-coding RNA. Lineage: Eukaryota; Metazoa; Chordata; Mammalia; Rodentia; Sciuridae. The record is from RefSeq and is a predicted model, not a curated record.